GGUGAACCUGCGGAAGGAUCAUUACCGAUGUGAAAAAUCCAAGGUUAAACAUCAUUAACCAGUGUGAACUGUGAAACAACUCUUUAGGGGUCGGCACAGGCGUGUGUCGUUAAAUGGCGGAUAGGUUCCUUCCGCCAGCCCCGCCAUUGUGUUUAUGAUAUCACUUUGAACGUUUAAGACUGAGAACGUAUGUAUCAUGCAUGAAAUGUAUGAGAAAGAAGGAAAGAAAAAUGAGAGACAACUUUUGACGGUGGAUCUCUUGGCUCACGUAUCGAUGAAGAACGCAGCCAGCUGCGAUAUGUAGUGUGAAUUGCAGAAUUCAGUGAAUCAUUGAAUCUUUGAACGCAAAUGGCGCUCUUGGGUUCUCCCAGGAGCAUGUCUGUCUGAGUGUCGGAUUUUAUCGAACGCACUCGUGAGUGCGGUAUUGAGGUGUCACGGCGUGUUAGCAAGCAAGCAAGCAUUAAAUCGCCGUGUCCCUUGAAGGACAGCAGCAUUGGACUCGCAUUCUCUAUUGAAACUUGAGUGCGAAGGCUAAAGAUAAUAUUUUCCUUCGCCCAAACAUGCAAUAGCAGAAACAAAAUCCAAUCAAAGCGGUGACAGACAAUGACAACAUCAAAUCUUGACCUCAGAUCAGGCAAGGCUACCCGCUGA
RNAcentral lists this small RNA (651 nucleotides) under Porites lobata. RNAcentral's name for it is "eukaryotic LSU rRNA". The stretch from base 240 to 393 matches the Rfam family "5.8S ribosomal RNA". Lineage: Eukaryota; Metazoa; Cnidaria; Anthozoa; Scleractinia; Poritidae. The record is from RNAcentral.